UCAUAGCCCUGAUGGAAAUGGCAUCCUUUUUAUGAGGUGAUUUUUCUUCACCUCAUAAAAAGAUAUAAUGUACAGCAGGAAAUAGC
Hucho hucho (huchen) is the source of this 86-nucleotide small RNA. The record is from Ensembl. Lineage: Eukaryota; Metazoa; Chordata; Actinopteri; Salmoniformes; Salmonidae.